This 253-nucleotide ribosomal RNA is filed under the name uncultured bacterium. RNAcentral's name for it is "partial 16S ribosomal RNA". It matches the Rfam family "Bacterial small subunit ribosomal RNA", at positions 524 to 776 of the family's 1533-position model. The record is from RNAcentral.
UACGUAGGGACCGAGCGUUGUCCGGAAUCAUUGGGCGUAAAGAGCGUGUAGGCGGCUUGCUAAGUCUUGCGUGAAAUCUCGGGGCUCAACCCCGAGCGGUCGUGGGAAACUGGCAGGCUAGAGUGCGGGAGAGGAGAAUGGAAUUCCUGGUGUAGCGGUGAAAUGCGCAGAUAUCAAGAGGAACACCUGAGGUGAAGACGGGUUGCUGGGCUGACACUGACGCUGAGGCGCGAAAGCUAGGGUAGCAAACGGG